AGGGCUCGGUCGGGCUGAGGUGGGGAGAGCUGAGUGGAAGUGACAAGGCAGGGGCUUCGCCAAGAGAGCCAGUCUUAGCCAGCCUGACUUUGCCUCGCCCUAGGCGUGACCUAGCCUUUACUGGAUCCCGGUCUACGUCACCACCAACAAUACUAAAGUUCAGGGGUAGGGAACCUAUGGCUCUAGAGCCAGAUGUGGCUCUUUUGAUGACUGCACCCGGCUCUUGGAUAAAUCUUAGCUGACAUCGCUUAACACGUCCUAAGGAUAUCCACCCAUCUAUCCAUUUUCUACCGCUUAUUCCCUUAAGGGUGGCGGGGGGCACUGGAGCCUAUCUCAGCUACAGUCGGGCGUAAGGUGGGGUACACCCUGGACAAGUCGCCACCUCAUCACAGGACCUAAGGGGUGGCGGGGGGCACUGGAGGCUAUUUCAGCUACAGUCGGGCGUAAGGUGGGGUACACCCUGGACAAGUCGCCACCUCAUCACAGGACCUAAGGAAUCCAGCUGAAAUUCUUCAUCUUUCAUCUGGAAUCCUGGGUGCAAGAAAAAGGGGACCACUUCAUGAGCUUACCACAUCCUGAUGAAGAUGCAGAUGAUGUGGUCCUGAUGGCUUCAUCUGAUCGGGAUCUUCAGCUCUCACUGGAUCGGUUUGCAGCCGAGUGUGAAGCGACCGGAAUGACAAUCAGCACCUCAAAGUCCGAGUCCAUGGCUCUCGCCCGGAAAAGGGUGGAAUGCCAUCUCCGGGUUGGGGAGGAGACCCUGCCCCAAGUGGAGGAGUUCAAGUACCUAGGAGUCUUGUUCACGAGUGAGGGAAGAGUGGAUCGUGAGAUCGACAGGCGGAUCGGUGCGGCGUCUUCAGUAAUGCGGACGUUGUACCGAUCUGUUGUGGUGAAGAAGGAGCUGAGCCGGAAGGCAAAGCUCUCAAUUUACCGGUCGAUCUACGUUCCCAUCCUCACCUAUGGUCAUGAGCUUUGGGUCAUGACCGAAAGGAUAAGAUCACGGGUACAAGCGGCCGAAAUGAGUUUCCUCCGCCGUAAGGCGGGGCUCUCCCUUAGAGAUAGGGUGAGAAGCUCUGUCAUCCGGGAGGAACUCAAAGUAAAGCCGCUGCUCCUCCACAUCGAGAGGAGCCAGAUGAGGUGGUUCGGGCAUCUGGUCAGGAUGCCAACCGAACGCCUCCCUAGGGAGGUGUUUAGGGCACGUCCAACCGGUAGGAGGCCACGGAGAAGACCCAGGACACGUUGGGAAGACUAUGUCUCCCGGCUGGCCUGAGAAUGCCUCGGGAUCCCCCGGGAAGAGCUGGACGACGUGGCUGGGGAAAGGGAAGUCUGGGUUUCCCUGCUUAGGCUGUUGCCCCCGAGACCCGAUCUCGGAUAAGCGGAAGAAGAUGGAUGGAUGUUUUUAUAUUUAUUUAUUUUUUGUUUUUAUUCAGUCAUUGGUGGAGCAUAAUGUUUUUUUUAAUAUUGUUUUUAACAUGGCUGGAAACUACUGGAAACGUUAUUGUUGUUUAAAUGUGCUAUAUAAAUAAAGUGUGUUGGAUUUGCUGCCACCUUUCCCAACUUCUUUAUCAUGUGUUGCCGGCAUCAAAUUCUAAAGUUAAUGAUUAUUUGCAAAAAAAAAAUGUUUAUCAGUUUGAACAUCAAAUAUGUUGUCUUUGUAGCAUAUUAACCCGAAUAUGGGUUGAAAAUGAUUUGCAAAUCAUCGUAUUCCAUCUAACGCAAUUUCCCAACUCAUAUGGAAACGGGGUUAGUAUAUAACAAUGUGACAUGACUCUAAAAAUGCAAAUAAUACUGCUAUAAGCGUAGUCAGAAUGCUCCCAGCUAUUAUGUUUACGCAGCCGUUCCAUGUGACUAGAUACCAUUACAUUUAAAAUGACAGCAGGUUGACGGAAAAGUCAAGGGAAAACAAAUCCCGUGGCGAUAUUCUUAUUUAUUUUUUGUUCUCCUCCCAAAAAAAAAAAUAUAUGUGUUCUCAGUUCACAAGUCAGGAACGCUUCCUUUAUGCAUGAGUUUUCUCGGCACCGAGUGUCUUAUAGACAGGAGACUAGUGAUCCCCAAGCUGGGAGCCGGGCUUGUCACUCUCGGCUGUGUGAACGGUGCACGAGAGAGUGAGAUAGGCAGCAGGUUAAGGCCUGAGGUGCAGGGCAGGUUUUUUUUUCUUGUUUUGCAUCUGGUUUUAUUUAUUAUGCAGGAGUUCCUACCGGAGUUAGGUGUAGUAGGGGAGUUGGCCUGGCUGUUCUGCACGGCGGCGGCUGCGGCGUGCGCCGCGUUUACAGCCGUCUUGGCCGCGUAGAGGUUGGCCUCCUCCUGAAACUUGCCGAUGUUUUUCUUGUAGCGGAUGCGUUUGUUGCCGAACCAGUUGGAUACCUGCGUGGGAGAGCACAGAGGGGAGGAGCAGAGGAGUCAGACGUCGAGUUCACUGAGCAGUGAGACUGUUUCAAGAUGUCAUGUUUGGGUCCAUCAAGUACCCAAUUCCCAGCCCCUGCAGCAAUGUCCACUGGGUACACAAGCUAAUUAAGAGAUAAUAAGGAGCCACUUGUGUCUUCCCAUGGAUGGGAGCCUGACACGCUCUCAGCUGCGUCUCCUGACAGAACCCAAACACGAGGGGCCCCUGCUGCUUUGACACGUCGUCACGCUAGUGUGUGCGGCUGGUUGUUAAGGCGACUCACCUCCCUC
Molecule: long non-coding RNA, 2670 nt
Organism: Nerophis ophidion (straightnose pipefish)
Lineage: Eukaryota; Metazoa; Chordata; Actinopteri; Syngnathiformes; Syngnathidae
Exons: 6
Source: RefSeq, a predicted model, not a curated record